AUUGAACGCUGGCGGCAGGCCUAACACAUGCAAGUCGAACGGUAACAGGAAGAAGCUUGCUUCUUUGCUGACGAGUGGCGGACGGGUGAGUAAUGUCUGGGAAACUGCCUGAUGGAGGGGGAUAACUACUGGAAACGGUAGCUAAUACCGCAUAACGUCGCAAGACCAAAGAGGGGGACCUUCGGGCCUCUUGCCAUCGGAUGUGCCCAGAUGGGAUUAGCUAGUAGGUGGGGUAACGGCUCACCUAGGCGACGAUCCCUAGCUGGUCUGAGGGGAUGACCGGCCACACUGGAACUGAGACACGGUCCAGACUCCUACGGGAGGCAGCAGUGGGGAAUAUUGCACAAUGGGCGCAAGCCUGAUGCAGCCAUGCCGCGUGUAUGAAGAAGGCCUUCGGGUUGUAAAGUACUUUCAGCGGGGAGGAAGGGAGUAAAGUUAAUACCUUUGCUCAUUGACGUUACCCGCAGAAGAAGCACCGGCUAACUCCGUG
This 490-nucleotide ribosomal RNA is filed under the name uncultured bacterium. RNAcentral describes it as "partial 16S ribosomal RNA". It matches the Rfam family "Bacterial small subunit ribosomal RNA", at positions 30 to 507 of the family's 1533-position model. The record is from RNAcentral.